UACGUAGGGGGCAAGCGUUAUCCGGAUUUACUGGGUGUAAAGGGAGCGUAGACGGCAGCGCAAGUCUGGAGUGAAAUGCCGGGGCUCAACCCCGGAACUGCUUUGGAAACUGUGCAGCUAGAGUGCGGGAGAGGUAAGCGGAAUUCCUAGUGUAGCGGUGAAAUACGUAGAUAUUAGGAGGAACACCAGUGGCGAAGGCGGCUUACUGGACCGUAACUGACGUUGAGGCUCGAAAGCGUGGGGAGCAAACAGG
Molecule: ribosomal RNA, 253 nt
Filed under: uncultured bacterium
Lineage: Bacteria
Description: partial 16S ribosomal RNA
Rfam family: Bacterial small subunit ribosomal RNA
Source: RNAcentral